CAGCAGCCGCGGGAAUACGAAGGGGGCUAGCGUUGCUCGGAAUUACUGGGCGUAAAGGGCGCGUAGGCGGCGCUCCAAGUUAGGCGUGAAAUUCCCGGGCUCAACCUGGGGACUGCGCUUAAGACUGGAGUGCUUGAGGAUGGAAGAGGGUUGUGGAAUUCCCAGUGUAGAGGUGAAAUUCGUAGAUAUUGGGAAGAACACCGGUGGCGAAGGCGGCAACCUGGUCCAUUACUGACGCUGAGGCGCGAUAGCGUGGGGAGCAAACAGGAUUAGAUACCCCAGUAGUCCCUGUCUCUUAUAC
This 301-nucleotide ribosomal RNA is filed under the name uncultured bacterium. Its description in RNAcentral is "partial 16S ribosomal RNA". It matches the Rfam family "Bacterial small subunit ribosomal RNA", at positions 509 to 807 of the family's 1533-position model. The record is from RNAcentral.